GCGUCACUUUGCAGAAGCGUGUGCCAGGCAGAUUCUCGACGUCGCUAAUCAGUGGGGGAUAGCUGAUAAAAUCAGCACUAUUGGAACAGACAGCGCUCCUAAUAUGGUGGCAGCAGGGAGGGUACUGCCAUUCGAGCAUUUGCCCUGUGUUGCGCAUGUUGUACAGAGAGCUAUUGUAAUGUCACUUCGGGAAGGUGGUUUUGAUGGUGCACUGGCCAAGUGCCGUAAAGUGGUCUUACGUUUCAAACAUAGUCCGGCCAACUCAGACGAGCUGAAUGUCCAGCAAGCCUCCCUUGGACAAGUUCAGGAGCAACUCGUGCAAGAUGUUCCAACACGGUGGAAUUCCACCCUUGAGAUGAUCAAGCGCGUGAUGCGCAACAAAGACGCACUGCACACAACGCUGUCUCAGCAGAAGCACAAUCUGGCCCUCCCAACAAAUGCUGAAAAUGAGAAGUUGGCAAAGCUAGAGAAACUGCUGGAGCCAUGCAGGUAAAUCACUGAGCUCCUUGGUGGGGAUAAAUAUGUAUCCUGCUCUGUGGUUCUACCUGCCCUGUGCCACCUCCAGCACGCGAUGAAGAUCUCAGAUGAUGAUCCUGCCUAUAUUGUGCGAUUCAAGGCUGCCUUCACCAAGGACCUCAACCAGCGGAGUGAGAAAAUAAACCUGGAAUGGCUUAAGGUGGCGACUGCUCUAGAUCCACGAUUUAAGGAACUCAAGUGCUUGCCCAGAGCAGAGAGGUGUGUGGGCAAAGCUAAGUGAGUUGGUGAAGGGAGAAGAACCUGCUCUGCAGCCACUCGGGGAGGAGAACCCUGAGCCACCCAAGAAGAAAACAGCCCUGCUACUGAUGGGAUCAGACUCAGAAUCAGAUGAGGAGACACCAGAAAACAAUACUGUGGAGAGGUACAAGGUAGAGCCCAGUGCCAGUCUAGAUCAGUGCCCACUGAAGUGGUGGUCGGAGCACACUGCUGUCUAUGGUAAGAUGGCCCACAUUGCUCGUAAAUACUUGGGGACUCCUGCCACAACUGUCCCAUGCGAGAGACUUUUUUCUUUAGCAGGCCAUAUUGUGCAGAAGAGGAGAUCUCCUUUGUCAUCAGAAAAUGUGAACUGCCUGAGUGACUGGUGGAAGAAGGAGAAAUAGAGCUUGGA
Xyrauchen texanus (razorback sucker) is the source of this 1144-nucleotide long non-coding RNA. RefSeq lists it as uncharacterized. NCBI's taxonomy places the organism in Eukaryota, Metazoa, Chordata, Actinopteri, Cypriniformes, Catostomidae. The record is from RefSeq and is a predicted model, not a curated record. The transcript is spliced from 3 exons.